GGAAAAGAAACCAACAGGGAUUGCCCCAGUAACGGCGAGUGAAGCGGCACUAAUUUGAAAUCUGGCCCCAGGCCCGAGUUGUAAUUUGCAGAGGAUGCUUUUGGCGCGGUGCCUUCCGAGUUCCCUGGAACGGGACGCCAUAGAGGGUGAGAGCCCCGUACGGUUGGACACCAAGCCUUUGUAAAGCUCCUUCGACGAGUCGAGUAGUUUGGGAAUGCUGCUCUAAAUGGGAGGUACAUUUCUUCUAAAGCUAAAUAUUGGCCAGAGACCGAUAGCGCACAAGUAGAGUGAUCGAAAGAUGAAAAGCACUUUGAAAAGAGGGUUAAACAGCACGUGAAAUUGUUAAAAGGGAAGCGCUUGUGACCAGACUUGCGUCCGGUGAAUCACCCAGCUCUCGCGGCUGGGGCACUUCGCCGGCACAGGCCAGCAUCAGCUUGCCGUCGGGGACAAAAGCUUCAGGAACGUGGCUCCUCUCGGGGAGUGUUAUAGCCUGUUGCACAAUACCCUUCGGCGGGCUGACGCGCUCCGCAAGGAUGCUGGCGUAAUGGUCAUCAGCGACCC
This 561-nucleotide ribosomal RNA is filed under the name uncultured fungus. Its description in RNAcentral is "eukaryotic LSU rRNA". It matches the Rfam family "Eukaryotic large subunit ribosomal RNA", at positions 55 to 650 of the family's 3401-position model. Lineage: Eukaryota; Fungi. The record is from RNAcentral.